This 510-nucleotide unclassified non-coding RNA is filed under the name uncultured Glomus. RNAcentral describes it as "SSU rRNA". It matches the Rfam family "Eukaryotic small subunit ribosomal RNA", at positions 569 to 1081 of the family's 1831-position model. The record is from RNAcentral. Lineage: Eukaryota; Fungi; Glomeromycota; Glomeromycetes; Glomerales; Glomeraceae.
CGCAGCCGCGGUAAUUCCAGCUCCAAUAGCGUAUAUUAAAGUUGUUGCAGUUAAAAAGCUCGUAGUUGAAUUUCGGGGUUAGCAGGUCGGUCGUGCCAUCGGUAUGAACUGGUCUCGCUGAUCCCUCCCUCUUGACGAACUGUGAUGCCAUUAAUUUGGUGUCGCAGGGAAUCAGGACUGUUACUUUGAAAAAUUAGAGUGUUUAAAGCAGGCUCACGCUUGAAUACAUUAGCAUGGAAUAAUGAAAUAGGACGUUUGAUCCUAUUUUGUUGGCUUCUAGGAUUGACGUAAUGAUUAAUAGGGAUAGUUGGGGGCAUUAGUAUUCAAUUGUCAGAGGUGAAAUUCUUGGAUUUAUUGAAGACUAACUACUGCGAAAGCAUUUGCCAAGGAUGUUUUCAUUAAUCAAGAACGAAAGUUAGGGAUCGAAGACGAUCAGAUACCGUCGUAGUCUUAACCAUAAACUAUGCCGACUAGGGAUCGGAUGAUGUUUAAUUUUUAAUGUACUCAUUC